AUUGAACGCUGGCGGCAUGCCUUACACAUGCAAGUCGAACGGCAGCACGGGAGCAAUCCUGGUGGCGAGUGGCGAACGGGUGAGUAAUAUAUCGGAACGUGCCCAGUCGUGGGGGAUAACGUAGCGAAAGCUACGCUAAUACCGCAUACGAUCUAUGGAUGAAAGCGGGGGAUCGCAAGACCUCGCGCGAUUGGAGCGGCCGAUAUCAGAUUAGGUAGUUGGUGAGGUAAAGGCUCACCAAGCCGACGAUCUGUAGCUGGUUUGAGAGAACGACCAGCCACACUGGGACUGAGACACGGCCCAGACUCCUACGGGAGGCAGCAGUGGGGAAUUUUGGACAAUGGGCGCAAGCCUGAUCCAGCAAUGCGCGUGCAGGA
This 377-nucleotide ribosomal RNA is filed under the name uncultured bacterium. RNAcentral's name for it is "bacterial SSU rRNA". It matches the Rfam family "Bacterial small subunit ribosomal RNA", at positions 30 to 408 of the family's 1533-position model. The record is from RNAcentral.